CAUGCCAUAAACGAUGAUCACUUGGUGUUGGAGGUAUUGACCCCUUCAGUGCCGAAGCUAACGCGUUAAGUGAUCCGCCUGGGGAGUACGGCCGCAAGGUUAAAACUCAAAGAAAUUGACGGGGGCCCGCACAAGCGGUGGAGCAUGUGGUUUAAUUCGAUGCAACGCGAAGAACCUUACCUAGGUUUGACAUGGUUUGGAAGAGUGGCAGAAAUGUCCUCGCCCGCAAGGGCCGAAUCACAGGUGC
This 247-nucleotide ribosomal RNA is filed under the name uncultured delta proteobacterium. RNAcentral's name for it is "partial 16S ribosomal RNA". It matches the Rfam family "Bacterial small subunit ribosomal RNA", at positions 796 to 1041 of the family's 1533-position model. The record is from RNAcentral. Lineage: Bacteria; Deltaproteobacteria.